UAACUGACACUGAUAAUCGCGUCGGUCAAAGCAUCGAAAGGGAAGGGUAUAAAACGAAGCUGCGUUGGCGCAACAUCCAAACAGUGCACACAAGCAAACAAGAAGGUCAGACCCUCUGCUAACAGAGCUACAAAAAAAACACAAGAGAAAAAUGACGACCAUUCGAUGCGUGCUUUUCGCUGUAUUACUGUUUGCUUAUUGCGCUUUGUUGAUAAAAGCGCGCUCGAUUGAUGCUGAGGCCGAGAAGACCUGGCAAGAGGAGGAGACAAAAACAGUUGCAGAAAAAAGCCCACUGAAGAAGCGAGGUUGCUCUGAUGCGUUUCCUGUUGUUUGCCGGUCCCCAAGCGUGAAAGCUGCUUGUUAUAACCCUAACCAUAGGAGCCACGCCUUCAUAACCGACGUCUGCAAGCACACGUGCCAUCUUUGUUAAAUACGGGAAAUGACUGCGAUGGAGAUAAAGAUGACGAGAAACAAGAAUACAUAAUCAAAUAAAAUGAGCCCAGAACGUUGUACAAAAACCUCCCCUCCCUUAUGUAUUCAGUGUAGUAUAGCAUAGUGUAUUACAAUCUCCAGUGUAGUGCUCCCUUCGCUCCUCUAUAUACCAUAAGAUUGUACAGGUGUGAACAUAUAAUAAAGAUGUGUCAGAUGAAUCAGUCGAAUAAAGACUGGGAAAAAUACCUA
Molecule: long non-coding RNA, 681 nt
Organism: Nematostella vectensis (starlet sea anemone)
Lineage: Eukaryota; Metazoa; Cnidaria; Anthozoa; Actiniaria; Edwardsiidae
Exons: 4
Source: RefSeq, a predicted model, not a curated record